Molecule: ribosomal RNA, 401 nt
Filed under: uncultured bacterium
Lineage: Bacteria
Description: bacterial SSU rRNA
Rfam family: Bacterial small subunit ribosomal RNA
Source: RNAcentral
UCGGGAAUUUUGCGCAAUGGACGAAAGUCUGACGCAGCAACGCCGCGUGAGGGAUGACGGCCUUCGGGUUGUAAACCUCUUUUGUCAGGGACGAUGAUGACGGUACCGGGAGAAUAAGCCCCGGCUAACUCCGUGCCAGCAGCCGCGGUAAUACGGAGGGGGCUAGCGUUGUUCGGAAUUACUGGGCGUAAAGCGCACGUAGGCGGCUUUGCAAGUUAGAGGUGAAAGCCCGGGGCUCAACUCCGGAAUUGCCUUUAAAACUGCAUCGCUUGAAUUGUGGAGAGGUAAGUGGAAUUCCGAGUGUAGAGGUGAAAUUCGUAGAUAUUCGGAAGAACACCAGUGGCGAAGGCGACUUACUGGACACAUAUUGACGCUGAGGUGCGAAAGCGUGGGGAGCAAAC